GACGAACGCUGGCGGCGUGCUUAACACAUGCAAGUCGAACGGAAAGGCCCUGCCUUUGUGGGGUGCUCGAGUGGCGAACGGGUGAGUAACACGUGAGUAACCUGCCCUUGACUUUGGGAUAACUUCUGGAAACUGGGGCUAAUACCGGAUAGGAGCUCCUGCUGCAUGGUGGGGGUUGGAAAGUUUCGGCGGUUGGGGAUGGACUCGCGGCUUAUCAGCUUGUUGGUGGGGUAGUGGCUUACCAAGGCUUCGACGGGUAGCCGGCCUGAGAGGGUGACCGGCCACAUUGGGACUGAGAUACGGCCCAGACUCCUACGGGAGGCAGCAGUGGGGAAUAUUGCACAAUGGGCGGAAGCCUGAUGCAGCAACGCCGCGUGCGGGAUGACGGCCUUCGGGUUGUAAACCGCUUUCGCCUGUGACGAAGCGUGAGUGACGGUAAUGGGUAAAGAAGCACCGGCUAACUACGUG
RNAcentral lists this ribosomal RNA (468 nucleotides) under uncultured bacterium. RNAcentral describes it as "partial 16S ribosomal RNA". It matches the Rfam family "Bacterial small subunit ribosomal RNA", at positions 28 to 507 of the family's 1533-position model. The record is from RNAcentral.